GAUGAACGCUGGCGGCGUGCCUAAUACAUGCAAGUCGAGCGAACAGACGAGGAGCUUGCUCCUCUGACGUUAGCGGCGGACGGGUGAGUAACACGUGGAUAACCUACCUAUAAGACUGGGAUAACUUCGGGAAACCGGAGCUAAUACCGGAUAAUAUAUUGAACCGCAUGGUUCAUUAGUGAAAGACGGUUUUGCUGUCACUUAUAGAUGGAUCCGCGCCGCAUUAGCUAGCUGGUAAGGUAACGGCUUACCAAGGCGACGAUGCGUAGCCGACCUGAGAGGGUGAUCGGCCACACUGGAACUGAGACACGGUCCAGACUCCUACGGGAGGCAGCAGUAGGGAAUCUUCCGCAAUGGGCGAAAGCCUGACGGAGCAACGCCGCGUGAGUGAUGAAGGUCUUCGGAUCGUAAAACUCUGUUAUUAGGGAGGAACAAAUGUGUAAGUAACUAUGCACGUCUUGACGGUACCUAAUCAGAAAGCCACGGCUAACUACGUG
RNAcentral lists this ribosomal RNA (497 nucleotides) under uncultured bacterium. Its description in RNAcentral is "partial 16S ribosomal RNA". It matches the Rfam family "Bacterial small subunit ribosomal RNA", at positions 28 to 507 of the family's 1533-position model. The record is from RNAcentral.